RNAcentral lists this long non-coding RNA (233 nucleotides) under Elaeis guineensis (African oil palm). RNAcentral's name for it is "long non-coding RNA (EGUI_LNC075379)". The record is from RNAcentral. Lineage: Eukaryota; Viridiplantae; Streptophyta; Magnoliopsida; Arecales; Arecaceae.
CUCAAGGAAAUAUUGGGAAAUUUCAGGCAGUCCAGAUGAGAAAUUUUGCUUGUUGAAAAGUGAGAAAUUUUUGUUCUUUUGAAAUCUUAAACUCUUCCGCACCUUAAAAAACCCAUGAAUUUUUUAAAAGUAAGAAUCACAACAAUUUUUUGGAUCUUGUUUGCUAGCCAUUUGAAGUUGUUAAUGACUUAAUUCUAGAAGUUGCCAUGUAAACUUAGUAUCAUACACUGUAU